RNAcentral lists this ribosomal RNA (492 nucleotides) under uncultured bacterium. RNAcentral describes it as "partial 16S ribosomal RNA". It matches the Rfam family "Bacterial small subunit ribosomal RNA", at positions 30 to 507 of the family's 1533-position model. The record is from RNAcentral.
AUUGAACGCUGGCGGCAUGCUUUACACAUGCAAGUCGAACGGUAACAGGCCUUCGGGUGCUGACGAGUGGCGAACGGGUGAGUAAUGCAUCGGAACGUGCCCAGAGGUGGGGGAUAACGCAGCGAAAGCUGUGCUAAUACCGCAUGUGAUCUGAGGAUGAAAGCGGGGGACCAGGCAGCAAUGUUUGGCCUCGCGCCUUUGGAGCGGCCGAUGUCAGAUUAGGUAGUUGGUGGGGUAAAGGCCUACCAAGCCGACGAUCUGUAGCUGGUCUGAGAGGACGACCAGCCACACUGGGACUGAGACACGGCCCAGACUCCUACGGGAGGCAGCAGUGGGGAAUUUUGGACAAUGGGCGCAAGCCUGAUCCAGCAAUGCCGCGUGCGGGAAGAAGGCCUUCGGGUUGUAAACCGCUUUUGUACGGAACGAAAAGGCUCUGGCUAAUAUCUGGGGCUGAUGACGGUACCGUAAGAAUAAGCACCGGCUAACUACGUG